Small nuclear RNA from Lemur catta (Ring-tailed lemur), 145 nucleotides. RefSeq annotates it as U4 spliceosomal RNA. The record is from RefSeq and is a predicted model, not a curated record. The transcript has a single exon. NCBI's taxonomy places the organism in Eukaryota, Metazoa, Chordata, Mammalia, Primates, Lemuridae.
AGCUUUGUGUAGUGGCAGUGUUGUAGCCAAUCAGGUUUAUCUGAAGUGCGAUUAUUGCUAAUUGAAAACUUUUCCCAAUACCCCCCACCAUGACCAGACUUGCAAUAUAGUCAGCAAUGGCAAUUUUUGACAGUCCCUAUGGGGA